CCUGCGAAGGUGUGCUGUGAGGCAUGCUGGAGGUAUCAGAAGUGCGAAUGCUGACAUAAGUAACGAUAAAGCGGGUGAAAAGCCCGCUCGCCGGAAGACCAAGGGUUCCUGUCCAACGUUAAUCGGGGCAGGGUGAGUCGACCCCUAAGGCGAGGCCGAAAGGCGUAGUCGAUGGGAAACAGGUUAAUAUUCCUGUACUUGGUGUUACUGCGAAGGGGGGACGGAGAAGGCUAUGUUGGCCGGGCGACGGUUGUCCCGGUUUAAGCGUGUAGGCUGGUUUUCCAGGCAAAUCCGGAAAAUCAAGGCUGAGGCGUGAUGACGAGGCACUACGGUGCUGAAGCAACAAAUGCCCUGCUUCCAGGAAAAGCCUCUAAGCAUCAGGUAACAUCAAAUCGUACCCCAAACCGACACAGGUGGUCAGGUAGAGAAUACCAAGGCGCUUGAGAGAACUCGGGUGAAGGAACUAGGCAAAAUGGUGCCGUAACUUCGGGAGAAGGCACGCUGAUAUGUAGGUGAAGUCCCUCGCGGAUGGAGCUGAAAUCAGUCGAAGAUACCAGCUGGCUGCAACUGUUUAUUAAAAACACAGCACUGUGCAAACACGAAAGUGGACGUAUACGGUGUGACGCCUGCCCGGUGC
Molecule: ribosomal RNA, 637 nt
Filed under: Escherichia coli
Lineage: Bacteria; Pseudomonadati; Pseudomonadota; Gammaproteobacteria; Enterobacterales; Enterobacteriaceae
Description: partial 23S ribosomal RNA
Rfam family: Bacterial large subunit ribosomal RNA
Source: RNAcentral